AACGAACGCUGGCGGCAUGCCUAACACAUGCAAGUCGAACGAAGCCUUCGGGCUUAGUGGCGCACGGGUGCGUAACGCGUGGGAAUCUGCCCUUGGGUUCGGAAUAACAGUUAGAAAUGACUGCUAAUACCGAAUGAUGUCUUCGGACCAAAGAUUUAUCGCCCAAGGAUGAGCCCGCGUCGGAUUAGCUAGUUGGUGAGGUAAAGGCUCACCAAGGCGACGAUCCGUAGCUGGUCUGAGAGGAUGAUCAGCCACACUGGGACUGAGACACGGCCCAGACUCCUACGGGAGGCAGCAGUGGGGAAUAUUGGACAAUGGGCGAAAGCCUGAUCCAGCAAUGCCGCGUGAGUGAUGAAGGCCUUAGGGUUGUAAAGCUCUUUUACCCGGGAUGAUAAUGACAGUACCGGGAGAAUAAGCCCCGGCUAACUUCGUGCCAGCAGCCGCGUAAU
RNAcentral lists this ribosomal RNA (449 nucleotides) under uncultured bacterium. RNAcentral describes it as "bacterial SSU rRNA". It matches the Rfam family "Bacterial small subunit ribosomal RNA", at positions 29 to 524 of the family's 1533-position model. The record is from RNAcentral.